UGGGCCAGGAAGUCUGAGGAGUUAUGACUGCCUCUGAUGAUUUAUUAUAGGGCCGCGGUAUUUUGACCGUGCAAAGGUAGCAUAAUCAUUAGUCUUUUAAUUGAAGGCUGGUAUGAAUGGUUUGACGAGAUAUAAGCUGUCUCUAUAUAAUAAUGUAUAAUUUAACUUUUAAGUCAAAAGGCUUAAAUAAGUAUAAAAGACGAGAAGACCCUAUAGAGCUUUAUAUAUAAUUGUACUCAUAUUAUUUGGAGGUAUUUAAAAUGAGUAUGAAUUGUAUGUUUUGUUGGGGUGACAUGAAGAUAUAAUAAACUCUUUAUUAUUUAAACAUUGAUUUAUGAUUAAUUGAUCCAUUAUUAAUGAUUACAAGAUAAAGUUACCUUAGGGAUAACAGCGUAAUUUUUUUUGAGAGUUCUUAUCGACAAGAAAGAUUGCGACCUCGAUGUUGGAUUAAGGAAUAUGACUAGGUGUAGAAGUUUAGUUAAUAAGUCUGUUCGACUUUUAAAUCCUUACGUGAUCUGGUUCCAGACCGG
RNAcentral lists this ribosomal RNA (530 nucleotides) under Tettigonia caudata. RNAcentral describes it as "partial 16S large subunit ribosomal RNA". It matches the Rfam family "Bacterial large subunit ribosomal RNA", at positions 1831 to 2619 of the family's 2925-position model. The record is from RNAcentral. Lineage: Eukaryota; Metazoa; Arthropoda; Insecta; Orthoptera; Tettigoniidae.